Molecule: long non-coding RNA, 1241 nt
Organism: Equus caballus (horse)
Lineage: Eukaryota; Metazoa; Chordata; Mammalia; Perissodactyla; Equidae
Source: Ensembl
ACCCAAAGUUGAGGAGAUGGAGCUGAGACACUGCACCUGAGAAGCAUCACCCACACCUGGACCUGAUUAGGAUUAGGAGAGCCUGGUCUUUGAGGCGAUACUGUAAAGGGAGGAGGCUUUUGAGGGACCUAGGAAGUGCUGGUGCAUUCUGUGCGGACAACUCAUAUAAGAGAAACCAGACAGCCUACCCUGGAACACUCCAGCCACACCUAAUGCUCUAAAAGCAGUCGUUUCCCUUUGCCUGAUAAACAUUUCUUAAAAAUUAAUCCUUUCCUGGGUUCUAAGAGCACUCUGCAGCUGCUGGACAGUGAGUGAAGUGACACUGGGAUCAGGUCUCAGAUGACUGCUACUGGAAGCAUUCACACCAGCUCAUAGGUGUGUGGAGAGCAGAUACUCGUCUUUUUAGUUCAUUAGACCCAAGUAACCACACCGGAGAAGCCUCAUUCACCCGACAACCUGACUUAAAUCACAAAAUCCUGGAUUUUAAUAUGACACUGUAGUGGGAUGGGAUUGAGGACUAGAAUAGACUUUUCUCCAAAGAAGACAUGGAAAUGGCCAACAAGCAUAUGAAAACAUGCUCAACAUCACUGAUCAUUUGGGAAAUGCAAAUCAAAAGCUCAAAGAUAUCACCUGACACCUAUUAGGAUGACUAUUAUUAAAAAACUAAAAGAUAACAAGUGUUGGUGAGGAUGUGGAGAAAGAGAACUCUGAUACAUUGUUGAUGGGAAUGUAAACUGGUGCGGCUCCUAUGGAAAACAGCAUGGAGGUUACUCAAUAAAUUAAAAGUAGAACUACCAUAUGGUCCAGAAUCCCACUUCUGGGUAUCUAUCCAAAUGAAAUGAAAUCACUAUCUCCUAGAGUUAAUUUGCACCCCCGCAUUCAUUGCAGCAUUAUUUACAAUAGCCAAGGUAAGGAAACAGCCUAAGCGUCCACCGAUAGGUAAAUGGACAAAGAAAAUGUAGUAUAUACAUACAGUAGCAUAUUAUUUAGCCUUAAAAAAGAAGUAAAUCCUGUCAUUUGUGACAACAUGGAUGUACCUGGAGGACAUUACGCUGAGUGAAAUAAGCCAGACACAGAAAGACAAAUGCCAUAUGAUCUUACUUAUAUGUGGAAUCUAAAAUAGUCAAACUCAUAGAAGCAGAGAGUAUAAUGGUAGUUGUCAGGGGCUGGGGCCGGGGGAUAAUGAGGAGGUGCUAGUCAAAGGAUACAAAGUUUUAGUUAUGCAACAUAGAUAAGUUCUG